Molecule: long non-coding RNA, 8081 nt
Organism: Dermacentor albipictus
Lineage: Eukaryota; Metazoa; Arthropoda; Arachnida; Ixodida; Ixodidae
Source: RefSeq, a predicted model, not a curated record
CGCUGACAUCUGCGGAUCUGCGCGCGACCACAAGCGACGUUGCUGUCGAGCUUUUGCUUAGCCGCUUGCUUCGCCGGCAUCAGCGUUCUCUUCCCGCAAUGUACCACAUGAGAAAGAAGCUUUUGCUGCGGCUGCUCUUGCAAAGGCGGCGAGAGCACAGAAAGCGUCUGCGGCGACGUUGGAGGGUCCGGCCAGUCUUUCAACUGCGUAAAUGAGAAGGACUUUACGGCUAUGCAACGGAUACGUCAGGAUGACCACGGAUUUUUCUACAAGUUCUUUCGCAAGACACCACAGCUCUUUGACAAGCUAUUGGGCUUUGUCGCAGAGGACCCCACACGGCAGCACCACAUUCAAGAAACCCCUGGAGCCUGGAGAACGACUUGCUGUAGCAUUGAGCAAUGCUUCCCAACGUAUCCAGCCUACGACUGCCUGCUGAAGCCAGCGAUGCUUGUGACUGCGGCCUGCUGUGGUGUGCCUCAGAAGCCUCGGGAACCAGAACUUCUGGAAACAUAGGUGAUUCAAGAGAUUCCAAAAUGUCCUGAGACUCCACAGACUCAUGCGACAUCGAAGACAGAGUCGAUGCUGGCGCUUCUGACUCUUCACUUGAUGGUGAUGGCACUUCAAGUGUUGCCAGAUCGAAAAACUGCCACAUUCUUUGUUGACAUGUCUGCAGCACUUCCCUCCUCACUCGAUGGGGGCACUAGUGGAAGGUUGGCGGACACCCUGUGUGUGAGCGUAAUAAGGUUUGCACAUAUUGCCAAUGUGUAAAUAAUGGCCAGUCUGAAUGCAAAAAUAUAUGAAGGCUCAAAUCAGUCCACAUUCGUUUUAAUGUGUGAUUUUAUUAGAGAACACCGAAGCUCUGAGUCAGUUUUGUAGGGACAAAAGUGGCUUGCCUACACAACCAGAAUGAACAGGUUCUGCAUGCGCUAAAGUGUAGCUUUUGUAUCUUUUUCUGUUUUUGCUUGUGAUGCAUUUAAGCAGUUCUUAUGCGAUCUGCAUGCCUAAAGCCUAGUGAUAACUUCUACUCAAAACAGUGCAUGAUAUUUGGAAUGUUUCAGUUUUGAAAUAAUUAGCAGCAAGCAUUCUACUACAUUUAAUCAGUUAAACCACCUAAUAUAUUUCAUGUUGAUCGACCUACGCUUGCACUUUCUAAACAUAGAGUAGUAGUAUUGUUAGGUCUUGCUUUAGCACAAGGCUCUCUCCUGUUCUAGUUUUUCUACUUGAAACGCUCUUGGCUUGUAACUUUGUUUUCCUUUCACUUGUUUGUAAACUUCAUCUCAUUCUAAACUGUUUUUCUUAACUGAAUGUAUGUCUAAACACAGUGUGAAGCUGUGUACGUAGUAGUCAGUGCAUUUGUUGUUUGUAUUUAGGAAGUUACAUAAAAUAAUGUUUGUCAUCUUGCCAUCUGCCUUGUAAAGGGUGUUUUGGCCCAGUAAAGCUGAUCUUAGCUAGCAAACCCUUCUAGAAGGUUUCUUAAAGCCAAGCUUUUUUUGCCUCUUCUCUGGACUUUCCCACCGCUGCUCCUACUGUCUUGCCAAAUAGCUCUUACUGAAUGCCUCAUACUGAUGUUAAUGUAGUCGUUGAACCAUUGUCAUUCCAGCUGACUACUGUCUUGCACGAGUGACCAGUACCGGACGUAAUGCAAAUACCAAUUAUAAUAAUGUAACUAGAUUGUGGUUUUGGCAUGUAAAAUUUCAAUAAUCAUUUUGUGCAUAGUGUGAAUUUCACAAUUUAUUUAUUUAUUAGUAAAAAUACAGAUAAUUGCAUGUGCGUAGUAUACAUAAGGAGGUCCCAAAGUCAAAGACUGUAUCGGGACCUCCUGCUAAAGACACUUAUGAUGUUACACAAAGUUUAAAGCAACAGUAGUAUAGAUGAGAACUAGGAGUAAUAUCGAAACAUGUUUAUAGCAUAUGAGUAAUAAGAACACUUGUUAACAGCAGGACAAUAUAAAAAAACGGAAUACAAAAAAAAUGAGGAGAGUUUCAGUAAGUAUUUAUUAUGAAUGAUUUUAGUUCUUUUUUAAAUUGGUAUAAAGUUUUUGCAUUUUUGAUGAUAGGGGGUAAAGUGUUCCAAAGCGAUAUUGCGGAAAAUUCCGCAGUCUGUUUACCGUAGUUAGUUCGCACUUUAGGUAGAAGGAAAUUAUUAUUGAGUGCAAAUCUAGUGUGACUAUGAGCUAUUAGGUCACAAGGUGAGAAGCAGAUUGAUGGUAGUUCCUUAGUCAUAUAUUUGUAGAAUAAAAUUCCUAGAUUAUAUUUGGUCAGUUCUGAAAUGGUUAGGAUGUUGUUUUCAUGUAGUAAGGAUUUUCCAUUAGCAAAGCGUGAACUGCUUGUAAUUAUUCUUAUGGAUUGGUUCUGGAUUACCUGGAGGGAUGCCAAGUGAGUGUUAUAAGUGUUACCCCAGCAUAGUAUGCCGUAGUUAAUAUGAGAGUGAAUGAAUGAGUAGAAUGAGUGAGUAGACUCAUUGUAAAACUAUUACUGUAAAGGAUUUUUCACGUGCCAGGGAUGAGAGCAUACUGGAUUAUCUUGACUUUAGUCUUAGCGGUUUUGGGGGACAUGACACCGUUCAACUUUGGGAUGAAUUUAUGAAUAUUUGUACGCACUGUAUUGAUAACUUUAUUCCAAAUAAAACCAAGCGAACAUAUAGAGCUACUCCCUGGAUGACGCGCGACAUAGUGCACAUAAAGAGAAAGGUUAAACGACUAAGACGACAGGGUCUUUCUCGUGACAUAGUAGAACCUUACCAAGCAAAAUUAAAUGAGGCUAUCAGUGUUGCUAAACUUCGCUAUUACCAGUUCACCCUUCCUAACUUCAUCAGAACUGCUCCUUCCAAGUUUUGGGGUUAUCUUAGUAAAAAAAGUAAAUCAGUUGACCAUAUUAUGCAUGAGGGCAAUCCUGUCGUCGCUAAACAAGAUAUCGCUGUUCACUUCAAUGCUUAUUUUAACAGUGUCUUUUCGAACUCGCCCGUUUCCCCUCGUGUAAAUGGCGUAGCACACAAUGAUUUUAGUUUUAUUUCUUUGUCUGGCGUCUUUUCUAUGCUUCUGAAUUUAAAAACAAAAUCAUCUCCUGGGCCUGAUAACCUACCAAACGUGUUUCUCCACAGGUACGCUGAAAUGCUAUCUCGCUUUCUCGUAAUCAUCUUUCGUGCAUCCCUUUCAUCGGCGGUGCUUCCUAACGACUGGCUUUCUGCUCGUAUUGUUCCGAUACUAAAAACAGGCGAUCCAUCACUAGUGGCAAACUAUCGUCCCAUUUCACUAACCUCAUCUUGUUGCAAACUUUUAGAACACAUUAUUGCUUCUGAAAUCAAUAAAUUUCUCGACGAUAGAGCCAUUCUAUCUCCUAUGCAGCAUGGUUUUCGAAAGGGCCUCUCCACUGUAACCCAAUUAACCACUGUAGUUCACGGUCUCGCUAUCACUAUUGACAAAUCAGGGCAAACUGACAUCAUAUUCUUGGACUUCAGGAAAGCAUUUGAUCUUGUAUCACACGCAAAGCUAAUAGAAAAACUUGAACAUUUGAACAUUCCUUCCCAUCUCGUAAAUUGGAUUCGCGCUUAUAUUUCUAACCGUACGCAAUUCGUAGUAGUUGAUGAUUGCUCUUCAAGCACCCUUCCUGUCACUUCUGGUGUUCCCCAGGGUAGUGUUCUUGGACCAUUAUUAUUUAACAUAUAUAUUAAUGACAUUGUCGACACUGUUACUCAACCCGUACAAAUAAAACUGUUUGCUGAUGAUUGCCUCCUCUUUAAUGAGAUCACUUGCCGACAAGAUCAAGUUAUUCUAAACUCUAACCUUCAAGACAUACUAGCUUGGUGUGCGCGCUGGGACAUGCAGCUUAACAUUGAUAAAACAGUAUUUAUGAAAAUAACUAGGAAAAUUAAUAAAUUGUCGUUUACCUAUAGCCUAGCAUCCAAACCUCUUACGGAGGUGAAUGAAUAUAAAUACCUCGGUGUUACAAUAGCCAGUAACCUUAGUUGGAACUCGCACAUCUCCCAUCUUUGCGACUCGGCUUUUAAGAAGCUUUGCUACCUCAGGCAUAAAUUAAAACACGCUCCUUCUGAAACCCGUCUUAUCGCCUACACCUCUCUUGUCCGUCCUAAACUCGAGUAUGCAGCUAUUGUAUGGGAUCCCUAUACUAAAACUAACAUUGAUGCGCUAGAAAUGAUACAACGUAAAGCAAUAAGGUUCAUCUUCUCUAAAUAUCGCACAAGUGAUUCCCCAACUCAGUUAAUGGCUGAACACAAUAUUCAGUCUUUGCAACUAAGAAGAAAAAUUCACAGGCUUAAAUUUCUCUUCUUGCUGAGUAACAAUAAACUAUCUCUUUCUCCCGAACCUUACAUAACACCCCUUACUGCCCGCUGAACAAGACAUCGCCACGCUGCAUCAUUAACGCCUUAUAAUGGUAGAACCAAUGUCUUUAUGUCUUCCUUUUUCCCUCGAACAGUAACGGAAUGGAACAGCCUACCCUAUAACAAACUUCUCAGCACUGACUCAAUAGCCUCUAUUACUAUCUAACUUUAGUGCUUGUUCUUACGAAAUCUCGUUUCAAUUUGUAUCGUUGUGCAAUAUUUAUUCAUUUGCGCGUUGUAGUAAUAUUGAAUUAUGCACUCCUCCUUUUUUUUCUGUUACAUUUUCUGUGCUUUGAAACUUUGCUUGUGAAACAGUGUUUCAAUUUGUGCCUGCCACUCUCUAUGCAUUAUUUAGAGGUGCUUUACUCAUUAUGCGAUUGUAUUUUCUAAUACAUUUUUUCCGGAGCUUUCUUUUUUUUACUCCUUUGUCAAUCUAUUGUUUUCUUUUUUUGUAUGUACCUUUCCCCUCCUGCCUGGGCCUUCUAAGGCCUGCAGUAUUCCUAAAUAAAUAAAUAAAUAAAAAUAAAUAGCGAGAUUAAUGUAUUAUGUGUAAAGUAGGGACUAGUUUUAAUUAGAACGCGAAUACCGUAUGCUAUUUUCUUUUUGAUGCGAGAAAUGUGAUCUUUAUAUUUCAAGCAGCAGUCAAGAGAAAUCCCAAGAAAAGAUGAGCAUGGACUGGGAGAGAUGGAGUGUGAGCCGAAAGUUAAAGAAGGGGAGAAUGCAGAAUGUUGUUGAUGUGAGGAAAAUACAACAAAUUUAGCCUUAGUGGCAUUAAUGGAUAAUAGGUUGGCAUUACACCAACUUAAAACAUUUUGUAGAUCAGUAUUUAGCUUGUUAAUAAGAAGUGACAUGUGUUUAUCAGAGGAAAAUAUGGUAGUAUCAUCAGCGUACAGAAUGCACUUAGUAGAGGACAAACAGUUAGGUAGGUCAUUGAUAUAAAUCAAAAACAGUAGUGGUCCUAAGAUAGAUCCUUGAGGGACGCCAAUGUUAGUGGUUUGUUCUCUGGAGUAGACGUUAGAUACAGACACUAUUUGAACCCUAUUUGAUAAGUAACUUUUUAAUAAUGAGAGCGCAGGACCACGAACACCGAUAGCCUCAAGUUUAGUAAAAAGGAUAAUGUGGUUUAAGCAGUCGAAUGCCUUUGUUAGAUCAAUGAAAACUGAGCCUGCAAAUAGACCAUCGUCAAUUAUUUUUUUUAAUUGGUCAGUUAGAUAUAUGAGUGCCAAAUCUGUGGAAUAUCCAUUACGAAAGCCAAAUUGGCAUGAGGAGAGAAUGUUAAAUUUAGUGAGAUAUUUGGUUAGACGCAUUGCGAUUAAUUUCUCCAGAACUUUGCUGAAAAAGGGUAAAAUACAAAUAGGGCGGUAGUUAUGUAUUAAUGUACUGUCACCUUUUUUUAGAACUGGAAUGACUUUACCGUGUUUAAGCUCGUUAGGAAACACACCAGUCUUGAAUAUCGAAUUAGUAAUAUGAGACAUGAUAUCAGAAAUUAAGUGGGCAAUCAUUUUAAUAGUAGCAGGUAGAACUUCAUCUAUUCCAGCACUGGUGGGUUUUAGGUGACAUAUAACGUUAUAUAUUUCUUCUGGCGUUGUGGGAAAAAGAAAAAAUGUGUGAGGGAGUCGAUUAAGUUGAGUGACUUGUGAAGGAGAGGGUGUGUCAUUAUCAAAAAAGUAGGAGCUGAAGGCGUUAGCUAUUUCGUUAGGGGAGUUAUACUCUGAGUUAUUGUAUAUAAUUUUUGAUAGCUGUUCUGGUUUAGAAUUUCUGUUUAGAAAGGAGUUGACGAUGUUCCAUUUCAAUUUGCUGUUAUUGCCGGCUUGCAAGAUUUUUUGUUCAAGAUAUAAUCGUUUUGCCACUUUUAACUGGUUGUUUAUAGAGUUACGUAACCUUUUAUAUCGUGCAAUUAAUUUGGUAUUAAAAGGCUGGUUUUUAGUUUUUUUGUACAGGUUAUCGCGUUUACGCAAAGCUGCUAAUAACUUUUUAGACAUCCAUGGAUUGUGAGAGAAUGCAAUGGUUUUUUUACACUUCCUUUUACAAGUGAAUUUAUGAAUAAGCGAUAUAAUUACAGUAAGAAAUUUAGAAAAUGCUUUUUGAGGAUCAUUAUAAGUUUUUAUUUCAGACCAGUCUAUAUUAGUAAUGGCAGUUAUGAAGCUCUCUUUGUCCAGAACGUAUUUGAAGUGUGGAAGAGGGCAAGGACUCGAGUUAUGUUUAAAACGUAGAAGCAAUGGGUAGUGAUCUGUUAUGUCCAUAUCAAGAACUUUUGCCUCUGGUGAAGUUAUUAAGUUAGAUAGGACAUGAUCAAUUAGCGUUCCUGUGCCACUAGGAACCUGUCGUGUAGGAACAUCAAUUAAGCAUUCAUAUCCGUAGCUUUGUAGUAGACUGGUGUAAGAAAUAACUGUUGGUGAUGUGUCAUUGAGUAGGUUAAUGUUGAUAUCACCCAUUAUAAUUACAUUUUUAUGUGUUUAACUGGAUCAUCUAGUCUUUCCUUGGAAAUUUUGCUAAGCAGGAACAGCGUUCUCCACAAAUAUUAUGAAAGCUUCGCUUAAACCAGUAACUUGUGGGGAUGCGCGACUCUCGCGCGUCCCCUGAUGUUUUCCCCGCAUAGCGCGUCUCCUGUAAUCCCGCUUCGCCGCGUGGCCUGCGUGACGUCCGCGCGGUCGAUGUGGUUGAAGCGCAGUCCGAGAGAUGGCGCUAGUGUUGCGCUGCUGCGGGGUUACUUGGGUGCGGAAGAGACAAGGCGCUCUCUUGGGUUCGAGACAGCAAGCGGGACGGACGCGCCGUGCCCCACGUGCAGCGACCCUUUUUCCCGGCGGGUCGGCGCACGGCGGGGACGUCUCCCGCGUGCGCGCCGACCGAUGCUUCGGCGAGACCGUCUCGCGUGGCCGCCUUCGAACGCGCCACGAUUCGCGUGACUAUACACGCGAACGAGCAGGCGUUGGGAUCCAGCAUGGGGCGAACACAUUCGCUCGCUUCCGGUCGCGGUAAGUCGGACUUCCAGAUUUGUCGCGCGCCCAUCGGCAUGUUUUGUGGAUAGCAACUCGGCUAGCAGGCAUUGAUGUAUGAAAGGUGCAAUAAAUGCCCUUGUGAUUGUUUGCACUACUGUGUUGUCGUUCCUUUGUCCCAAGAGUACGGUGCGAGAAUCCCACAUCAGACCCCACAAACUACAGCACCUGGGAUCUGCAGAAUAACUGCAGGCUGAUAAUUAGGUAAGGACACUGCUGAGCAGACACAAAAAUAAUUAUCAAUUACACAGCUGACAAUGUUGUCAGUACUAUGGUGCAUUUAUUCCUAAAGCAUGAUGACACUGAAUGAAUCCCUAAGCUAGCUAGGUAAUAUUUGAGGGUCUGUGAUGAAGCACUAAUUUGCACACUGCUGGCACGCAACAAAAUGCAAAAUUAAAGCUGUUCAUUGCGGUGACGAAGACACACGUGAAUAUAGCAACAUUCAAUACUCGGUUAAAUACUGGUCAUGGACUUGCAUGCUGCCUUCUGGGAUCAGUGCACAGAAUCAAAAGAAACUGCUUGCAUCUUUUGUGUUUUGUUUUUGUGUGUGCAUCAUGCAAGCCCUUUUCUUUUUCGUCCUGCUAAUUCGUAUGUGAUAUUCUCUGUACUUCUGUCUUAUGCUUUAUUGUUAGGUUUUUGUGUGCUAUUUUACUUGUUAUUUUGUACCUGUAUUUCUGCUUUCUCUGCUCCCCACUGCAAAGCCAAACUGGAUUUGUGGGUACCUAAAUAAAUAAGUAUACAAAGCUA